CUCGCAGUGGCGGGGCGGGCUGGGCUCGCGCCGAGCAGUGCCGUGCAGCGCAGCGUUGCGCCUCAGGGCUCGGCGGGGCCGGGGCUGCUGCAGCUCGUCUGGAAUGGAGAGGCUGUGUGCUUCCAGGUGCUACGGCACAGUCUGAGUGCCUUUGCAGGGAAACGCUUCUUACAUAUUUAUGGGAUCAGAUUGCGACGGUGGUGUCGUUCCCCAUCCGUUCUCCUCCCUGCUGGCAGCCGUUCCCCGGCAAGGCACGCUCUGCUGGUUGGGCACCGAACGACACGUCUGUAUUCCCCAUUUGGGGGUUGAAACAACGUGGCCAGCGCCAUUCCGCUCGGUUUUCUGAUCCGUGAUGAGUUCCACAAGGCGCCGUUCGGUUCCCAACCCGUACAAGACAGAUGUUGGGUUCCUGGAUUGUGUUCAGGGAAGAGCACCCGGGCAGCCCGCCCUGAGGAGCGGCUGAGGGAGCCGGGGCUGUCCGGGCUGAGGAGGGGCACAAACAGAACGUGGUUCAGCUCAGUGAGUUAAUGAGCAAGCCGAUAAACGGCGAUGCGUGCACCCCGUGUCCUCGCUCAGGAGCUUAGAGCCUGCGUAACACGGCAGCAUUCCACCCUGUAACGCGUGCGAGAGCGUUCCGACCGCCUGCUAGGAAAACUUCCUCCUUGCGGUUACGCGCUGGAUUUGAUUGCCCAAGGAUUACAGAAUCUCCAUAAUUGGAGGCCUCUAACAAAGAGCAGACGGAUGUCUCUCCGGGGAGCAGGGCAGGUGCGGCUGCUCCUGGCUCAGACCGAUCGCUGCGAGCCGCGGGGCUCCUGAGGAGCAGCUGCCUCGAGGCGGCCCGCUCCGAGCAGGGAGCAGCGCAGGUGCGGCCUGGAACACGGAGACGCCUGCUCAGAAGGACGCUCUGCUGCAGUUUGCAAGGAACAUCCAUUAGUGCCAUUAGGCACUUGGAUUCUUCGUCAUCCUGUUCCAGCUUUGAGUUUUGUUUGCUCUUUCUCAUUGCAGAGCAGUGAAGCGGUUGGAUUUGCUCAAGCUUGCACUCGGUGAUUCAGCUCACGCCCAUGGCUGUGCUGCUCGCCCAGGGUCUUCAGGAGGGGGAGCAGCUGGGAGCACCAAGCUGGGCAUCAUGGCUGAGCAGAGACCCUGUUCAGCAAGAGCCGUUUUGCAGAAGAACUCCACACUGAAGCUGUAAGAAAGCAAAUUUCAAACUGUUACACAGGUCCUCCAUGGGAAAGAAGCAUUAGUAAUGCUCAUCGAGUUUCCCCUUCUUUUCCCCCAGUUCAGGGGGUAAGCGUGACACGUUUUUUCUUGAUUUGCGUCUCAUUUCAGUGUAGUUUUAACCACUGUAUUUUUUUUUUUCCUUUAAUUUUGGAUGUUGUCUUUGAGACAUCACCUUUGGGAGCCCCGCUGAAUGACAAUAAGUGGAAGAACUGUCAAAUAGAUAUUUUUUAUUUUCAGGGGGUUUACAUUUUAUAGUGAAUUUACUCAUUUACAUUCGUCAUUUAAGUAGCAUCUGAUUUAAAUAAAGCACCAAGAGAACUUGAUUUAAAUAACUGAU
Long non-coding RNA from Numida meleagris (helmeted guineafowl), 1558 nucleotides. RefSeq lists it as uncharacterized. Lineage: Eukaryota; Metazoa; Chordata; Aves; Galliformes; Numididae. The transcript has 2 exons. The record is from RefSeq and is a predicted model, not a curated record.